RNAcentral lists this long non-coding RNA (1479 nucleotides) under Homo sapiens (human). Its description in RNAcentral is "long independently transcribed non-coding RNA 1605, transcript variant 7 (LINC01605)". The record is from RNAcentral. Lineage: Eukaryota; Metazoa; Chordata; Mammalia; Primates; Hominidae.
GUCAGUAAUUUCUCCCCUAGCAAGAAUGAGGAAGAUGAAGAGCUCGGGUAUCUGAGGGCUGGUGUGUCUGCAUGCGUGUGUGUUUUGGGGGCCGACUGAAGGAAGAGAAGGCUGGAGAGAGGGAACAUGGGUCUGAGGGCACAUCGCUAAGGGGUCAAGAGGCCUAAAGGAGGAGUCUAAGGCUCUCCAUCGAACUUGGACUUGGUCUACAUUAGACUUUAACCUCCAUGAGGCUUGGACUUUCAGGCUUCCUCCCUCACACCGCGGGCAGGUGAGGCGUCUGCUACAGGCCUGGUCUCGCAGAGGGGGCCCAGCGCCCCCCGCCGCCGCCUUCUCCUGGAGUCUGUGUGACAGAAUGGGACCUGUGGGAAAGCAGCACGUCAGCACCCAGCCCCGCUUGCGCGCCAGCAGCUAAUUAAAGCCAGGAAGGUGAUGGCGAUUUUCAACUCAUUCCCGUUACAAACAGCCGACCUUCCUACCGAGUUCAAGUACCUUCUGCCUGGCCUGGAAGAACAAUAUCUCUCUGUCUCCCUCUUCCACUGGCCCUCACCUGCCUUCCCCUGAACAUGCAUUUUGCCUGACAGGAGACAGAGGCAGUUGAGAUGGAGUCUUGCUAUAUGGCCCAGCUGGUAAUGCCUAGAUUCUUGAGUCCCUCCCUGGCUCAUCCCUGGGAGCAGCACUGAACCCCUUGUCUGACACCUGUCUGGAAAUGGAGCCUGCACAUUGACCCUAGAUGCUUGCAGCUUGGUCCAGGAGGCCAGCAGGACCAGAGAGAAGACCACAGCGACACAUGGGGAUGGCUGUCCCACAGGCAGAAAUGAGCAGCCGGGAGGAAGCCCAGGCAGCCAGCCACCCAGCUCCCUCCACAUCGUGGCCCUAGAACGGAGUCUUGAAGAAUAAGAAGCCACAGCUUGUCAGGGAAUCAGGCUGGAAAAAUGUUAUGAGACUGAGUAAGACCAGAGUUUCUGGGUCAUUGGUGAGACUGGAUUUCAUAGAAGAGUCUUUGCUACAGCAAAACCUCUCUUCAAGCAAUACACUAUUCAAGCUGCUGGAGGCUAGAUUGACCAGAAAAAUGGGGCCAAUAUCAUGAUUCCUCAGCAGUGCCUGGAGAAGACCAGGAGAGGAAGCAGAAGACCCUCCUCAAAGAAGCAGCCUUCACCUCCAGACCUCCCAGCGGGACUUAGACAAUGGGGUUAGGCAGUCACAUGUCUGCACGUGGAAACUUUCUGGGACUGUGCUUGGAUCCUGGCUCUGCCUUUUACUAGCCAUGUGACCUUGGGAAAAUCACUUGACUUCUCCGUGCAGGAUUCCUCAUCUGUAAAAAUGGUCUAAGAUUAGGAGCCACCUCAAGGUUGUUGUAGGAAUUAAAUUAAUUCAUGUUUAUAAAGUGCUUUGAACAGCGUUUGGCACAUGGUAAGUGCUAUGUGGUAAGUGCUGUCUAUUGAUUACAUAAAUAAAAGUGAUCACCAUUAGACUUUC